Molecule: ribosomal RNA, 251 nt
Filed under: Vibrio vulnificus
Lineage: Bacteria; Pseudomonadati; Pseudomonadota; Gammaproteobacteria; Vibrionales; Vibrionaceae
Description: partial 16S ribosomal RNA
Rfam family: Eukaryotic small subunit ribosomal RNA
Source: RNAcentral
AGGUCUGUGAUGCCCUUAGACGUUCUGGGCCGCACGCGCGCUACACUGACGGAGCCAGCGAGUCUAACCUUGGCCGAGAGGUCUUGGUAAUCUUGUGAAACUCCGUCGUGCUGGGGAUAGAGCAUUGUAAUUAUUGCUCUUCAACGAGGAAUUCCUAGUAAGCGCAAGUCAUCAGCUUGCGUUGAUUACGUCCCUGCCCUUUGUACACACCGCCCGUCGCUAGUACCGAUUGAAUGGCUUAGUGAGGCCUC